GGAAGGGGUGUAUUUAUUAGAUUAAAAACCAAUGCCCUUCGGGGCUCCCUGGUGAUUCAUAAUAACUUCUCGAAUCGCACGGCCUUGCGCCGGCGAUGGUUCAUUCAAAUUUCUGCCCUAUCAACUUUUGACGGCAGGGUCUUGGCCUGCCAUGGUGACAACGGGUAACGGAGGGUUAGGGCUCGACCCCGGAGAAGGAGCCUGAGAAACGGCUACUACAUCCAAGGAAGGCAGCAGGCGCGCAAAUUACCCAAUCCCGACUCGGGGAGGUAGUGACAAUAAAUACUGAUACAGGGCUCUUUUGGGUCUUGUAAUUGGAAUGAGUACAAUUUAAAUCCCUUAACGAGGAACAAUUGGAGGGCAAGUCUGGUGCCAGCAGCCGCGGUAAUUCCAGCUCCAAUAGCGUAUAUUAAAGUUGUUGAGGUUAAAAAGCUCGUAGUUGAACCUUGGGCCUAGCCGGCCGGUCCGCCUCACCGCGUGCACUGGCUCGGUUGGGCCUUUCUUUCUGGAGAACCCCAUGUCCUUCACUGGGUGUGGUGGGGAACCAGGACUUUUAC
This 557-nucleotide ribosomal RNA is filed under the name uncultured Ascomycota. RNAcentral's name for it is "SSU rRNA". It matches the Rfam family "Eukaryotic small subunit ribosomal RNA", at positions 194 to 755 of the family's 1831-position model. The record is from RNAcentral. Lineage: Eukaryota; Fungi; Ascomycota.